GACGAACGCUGGCGGCGUGCUUAACACAUGCAAGUCGAACGAUGAACCCGGAGCUUGCUCCGGCGGAUUAGUGGCGAACGGGUGAGUAACACGUGAGUAACCUGCCCUUGACUCUGGGAUAACUGCUAGAAAUGGUAGCUAAUACCGGAUACGACCCUCGGUGGCAUCACCAGGGGGUGGAAAGAAUUUCGGUCAAGGAUGGACUCGCGGCCUAUCAGCUAGUUGGUGAGGUAACGGCUCGCCAAGGCGACGACGGGUAGCCGGCCUGAGAGGGUAACCGGCCACACGGGGACUGAGACACGGCCCAGACUCCUACGGGAGGCAGCAGUGGGGAAUAUUGCACAAUGGGCGCAAGCCUGAUGCAGCAACGCCGCGUGAGGGAUGACGGCCUUCGGAUUGUAAACCUCUUUUAGUAGGGAAGAAGCGAAAGUGACGGUACCUGCAGAAAAAGCACCGGCUAACUACGUGCCAGCAGCCGCCGUAA
Molecule: ribosomal RNA, 484 nt
Filed under: uncultured bacterium
Lineage: Bacteria
Description: partial 16S ribosomal RNA
Rfam family: Bacterial small subunit ribosomal RNA
Source: RNAcentral